CACCGCGGUUAUCGAGAGGCCCAAGUUGACAAAAAUCGGCGAAAAGCGUGGUUAGUGAUAUCACCUCCACUAAAGCCAAACACCUUCAAGGCUGUAAUACGCCCCCGAAGACAGGAAGCCCAAUCACGAAAGUAGCUUUAAUUUUCAUGAAGCCACGAAAGCUAGGAAACAAACUGGGAUUAGAUACCCCACUAUG
This 196-nucleotide ribosomal RNA is filed under the name Neogobius melanostomus (round goby). Its description in RNAcentral is "partial small subunit ribosomal RNA". The record is from RNAcentral. Lineage: Eukaryota; Metazoa; Chordata; Actinopteri; Gobiiformes; Gobiidae.